CCCUUAGAUGUUCUGGGCCGCACGCGCGCUACAAUGAUGAAUUCAACGAGUUUAUAACCUUGGUUGAAAAGCCUGGGUAAUCUUUUGAACUUUCGUCGUGAUGGGGCUAGACCCUUGCAAUUAUUGGUCUCCAACGAGGAAUUCCUAGUAAACGCAAGUCAUCAGCUUGCAUUGAUUACGUCCCUGCCCUUUGUACACACCGCCCGUCGCACCUACCGAUUGAAUGGUCCGGUGAAAUCUUCGGAUUGAGACUUUGAUUUCUUCACGGAAAACGCUGUUUUAAAAAGUUGAUUAAACCUUACCAUUUAGAGGAAGGUGAAGUCGUAACG
This 329-nucleotide ribosomal RNA is filed under the name uncultured eukaryote. RNAcentral describes it as "partial 18S ribosomal RNA". It matches the Rfam family "Eukaryotic small subunit ribosomal RNA", at positions 1470 to 1796 of the family's 1831-position model. The record is from RNAcentral.